This 253-nucleotide ribosomal RNA is filed under the name uncultured bacterium. RNAcentral's name for it is "partial 16S ribosomal RNA". It matches the Rfam family "Bacterial small subunit ribosomal RNA", at positions 524 to 776 of the family's 1533-position model. The record is from RNAcentral.
UACGGAGGGAGCUAGCGUUGUUCGGAAUUACUGGGCGUAAAGCGUACGUAGGCGGUUACUCAAGUCAGAGGUGAAAGCCCGGGGCUCAACCCCGGAACUGCCUUUGAAACUAGGUAGCUAGAAUCUUGGAGAGGCGAGUGGAAUUCCGAGUGUAGAGGUGAAAUUCGUAGAUAUUCGGAAGAACACCAGUGGCGAAGGCGACUUACUGGACACGUAUUGACGCUGAGGUGCGAAAGCGUGGGGAGCAAACAGG